RNAcentral lists this long non-coding RNA (1390 nucleotides) under Bos indicus x Bos taurus (hybrid cattle). Its description in RNAcentral is "lncRNA (ENSBIXG00005003623.1)". The record is from RNAcentral. Lineage: Eukaryota; Metazoa; Chordata; Mammalia; Artiodactyla; Bovidae.
GGUUGUUUUAGGACAAGUUAAGUCUGACGUGCAUUGACUUUAUGCUGUGUUGUCAAGGUUUCAAAGUCGGAAGCAGUGUGGAAGAGCUCAGGAGAGAGAUGAAGAGAGAACUCAGGGAGUUUGAAAAUGUUGAUUCAGGACUUGGAAACAAAACAAGUAAUUAAAAUAGUUGAAUGGAAUGGAGUGCCCAGGCUUAGAUUAUCAAGAGAAUAGGAUCAGAGAGCCCCAAAAACUCUCAAGGAAAAGGCUAAGAAGGAGGUCUCGGGGGAGUAUGGUUUAGUGGGAGUUGAGAAAGGAGAAAGGAUUCAAUGGAAUCACAUGUUAGUGCACAAACGGUUAAUAUUACCCUUCGGAUUUGGGAGUUAAGGAUCCCUGAUUACUUCAGCAGGCCGUUUUCAAUGAGGGCAAUUCCAAUCUUCGAUGACUUGAGAAGAGAAGAAGUGGGAAUAUCAUGCAUUGUGUUCCGUUUGACAAGGUGCAAGUGGGAAAUAAAACUUACUGUCUUUGCAUUGAUGGAAGCAGCAACCUCAGAUUCAUCAAGUCCUUGGCAGGAUAUUUCACGCAGCCCACCUUCUGCAUUUGGCAUUAUAUAUGCCCCCGUGAGUAGCUUUUCCUCUAAAAUAAGUUUGAGAAGUUUUCUACCUCAUCCUUUAAUCCCAUUGUGCACCCCCACAAAGAAUCCUCCUAAAUGUGUGGCCUUUCAGUUGUAUGAAUUGUGGCAAGAACUUAAAAGACAAAACUCAUUUUUAAACAAUCCAAAUUUUGCUUCAUCAUGUGGGAUACCUGGGUUUGACCCCUGAGUUGGGAAGAUCCUCUGGAGAUGGAAAUGGCACCCCACUCCAGUACUUUUGCCUGGAAAAUUCCUUGGGUGACGGAGCCUGGUAGGCUACAGUCCAUGGGGUCACAAAGAGUCAGACAUGACUGAGCAACCUCACUGGUCUAUGCAGAGGUGGCUGAUGGUAGUCAUGAAAGUAGCAAUCCCUGACUUGACCAGAUGAGGUAGGCAGUAUUUUGAGAUGAACUCCAAGAUUCCUGCUCCUCCAGUGUGCAUAAUCUUGAAUAAUGCCUUCCCCUUGAGGAUGGGAGAAAGCUUGAAUUUGUUCCUAACUAAUAGAAUAUGAUCAGAGAAGGCAAUGGCACCCUACUCCAGUACUCUUGCCUGGAAAAUCCAUGGACAGAAGAGCCUGGUAGGCUACAGUCCACGGGGUCACUAAGAGUCAGACACGACUGAGCGACUUCACUUUCACUUUUCACUUUCAUGCAUUGGAGAAGGAAAUGGCAACCCACUCCAGUGUUUUUGCCUGGAGAAUCCCAGGGGUGGGGAAGCCUGGUGGGCUGCUGUCUAUGGGGUCACACAGAGUCAGACAUUACUGAAGCAACACAGCAGCAG